This 2931-nucleotide long non-coding RNA is filed under the name Equus caballus (horse). RNAcentral's name for it is "lncRNA (ENSECAG00000037899.3)". Lineage: Eukaryota; Metazoa; Chordata; Mammalia; Perissodactyla; Equidae. The record is from RNAcentral.
UGCCCCUCACCUGUGGGCGGACGGACCGUGGCACAGCCCUGCCGGCGUCGUUAUUACUCAGCAACGAGAAGGAGCAAACUGCUGACAUGCCACCAGCACGGAUGGACCGCAGGGGCGCGGUGCUGAGUGAGGAGCCCGACUUGGACGGCCACGUGCGGCGUGACUUUGUUCCGUGACAUCCCAGAAAGACGAAACUUUACAAACAGACAGCAGAUCAGUCAUUGCCAGGGGUUGGGGGAUGGGGGCGCAGACGCAGGAGGGUGAGGGGUCAGGGGGCUGAGGACAGAGCUGUUCUGGGUCUUGAUUGCGGUGCUGGAUCUGUUUGUCAGAACUCACAGAACCACACAGCAAAAAGGGUGAGUUUUACUGUAAGUAUAUUAUAUUUAAAAAAAAAUUACGAGUCUUGGAGUAAGAUGAGGAGUUCCUCCUUAACGGGUACAGAGUUUCUGUUUGGAUUGAUGAGAAUUUUUGGAAAUAAAUAGUGACGAUGGGUGCACAAUGUUGUGAAUGUAAUUAACGCCACUGAAUGGUACAUUUAGAAAUGGUUAAAAUGGCAUUUUACCACAAUUUUUUUUAAGUGAGAAACAAAGAGUCCAGGGGUAGAUUUCAGGCAUGGCUGGAUCCAAGAUUCUCUCCCUCUCUGAGGCCCUCUUUUCUCUCUCUCUGGCUUCAUUCCCAGCAGGCUCCCCCCAAGCGGUGACAAAGGCCAUCCGGAAAGGUCCAGGGCUGCCUCGCCCAGCCUCCCAACAUGAGCAGGAAGGAAGCGCUUCACGGCCAACAGUUCCUGGAAGUCCCAGGUCGAGUCUCGGUGGUUGGCGUUAGGACUUGAGUCGGCCCCUCAGACAAUCACUGGGGCCAGGGGGUUGGGAUGCUCUGACUGGCCAGGCCUGGGUCACACGCCCACCCCCAGAGCUGAGGGAGCCCCCCAACCCAAGGCCCUGGGAGGAAGAUCAGGGAGGGGCGGAUCGCACAGAAACCCAGGAGCUCUGCCUGCAGCCCUGGGCCGUGUUCAGUGUCGGGGGUCACCUGAGCGCUCUGUCCUCCAUUCUCCCGGCAGAGCCCACGGAGACACAGCAGACACUCACCGUGCCGUCCCCGGGUUUGCAUAAGAGCCCACGUCCACGAAGUAGCAACUGCAAUGUUUUUCAAUCACACAGCGAAGAUAUUUAAAAAUAUCACCCAUAUGUGUUUUAAAUACAGGCAAAUAGCUGGCACGGCAGCCGGCUUCACACCCGCGUGCCAUUCUGAGUUCUGUCUUCUCGCUUCCAACUCUCAGAAUCGCACGUUGAAGGCCAGACGAGCCCAGAACGCGGCUCGGGCUGUGCGCCUCGGGCUCGCUUCCCCGGGAGGAACAGCCGGGCUCCCGGGCCCUGGCGGGAUCACUGGCCCUCGCCGAGAACACAGAAAUGGAACCAGGACAUUUUUAGGGACGUUUGAGGAAGUUCUCCAGCCUCCUUCGUGAAAGCAUCUUUACUGGUCCGGCGCGGGCCGGCUCCCUCACUGCCCCGCCUGCCCAGAGUGUCCCCUGUGUGGUCUUAAAGUCCUUGAAAUCCGACCUUGCUUAGAUGAGGUUUUAUAACUUGAGGCUUCCCACAUCUUCCCACCUUUUCUCUCAGAUUUAUACUUUUAUACAUCCCAAAUAAUACCCUUUGGCUAUAAGUAACAGAUAAUUCCAACUCAAACUGGUUACAAUUAUAAUAGAUCAUCUUUUUUUAAAAAAAGCUUCAGUGCAUGGUUGUGCAUCCUAGUUGUUAGUUUAGUUCUCUGUGUGAGCUACCACCACAGUGUGACAACUAACAGACGGGUGGUGUGAACCCAGCCUGGGGUGAGAGCCCUGGACCUUAACCAUAGUCCACCAGGGCUGGGUCAGUAUGAUAGAUGAUCUUAUACAAGAAGUGCAGAGGUCGGUGACUCUGAGUUUGGUGUGAUCAGUGGCUAGGUAACAUCAACACUCUACCCUGCCAUCAUCUGUGUGGCCUUUACCCUCAGCCUGCUUCUCUUCAUGGCCCCAAAAUGGCUGCCCCUGCACCAGGUAUCACAUCUAGGCACAGAAACAUCCACAGAAGACUUCAGCAGGUCUCCCCUCACAUCUCAUUGGCUAGAAGUUAGUCACAUGUCCACUCCUAGGCCAAUCACCAGCAGGGGCAAUGGGAGGAGAAGAAGCCAGAACAAUAGGUAGAAAAAGGAGGAGAAGGAGGAAGGAAAGGGGCAGGGUCACGGGGGAGGAGAUUUCUGAGAAAUCUUGGGGAACUCUCAUCUAUCCUGGGAUUGAUGUGCAUUUGGCUCUUGCUCUCUAAAGCUUCCUCCUGCUCCAGCCCCUCCCGGCUCCCUCUGCCCCAAGCUGCAAGCGUCUUGGGACAUUUCAGUCCUUCUGUCUUUUGAAGCACCAACGGGCGAAGAAGCUGACAUUCAAGGCUUUCACAAGGAGGAGAAACCAGGAGGGUGGGGGCGGCCGAGGCGAAGGACAUGGGGUUCUGGCCUGUUGCUCUCAGUGAUGGCCCUUGAGUGAGCACUGAACGGGGCCUCGUGACAGCUCCCGUGUCUGCAGGACCCAUACCCUGAACAGUUGGGGUCUUCGUGCCGCCACUCCUGAGCCCAGCAGGGAGCAGCACCCCCGUUUUACGGAAAAACGAGCCCUGGAAGGUGCUGGGUGACUUGUCAAGGCCGAAGGCAUCGCGACUCUGGCUGGCUGGGGCAUAAGAGCGGCUGGGACCCUGGCACCCAGGACCGGUGGUGGAGCCUCGGUCUGACUUCGGGGUGCUCACAGUCUGAGGUCAGAGGGUCACAGCAGGCUGAGAGCAGAGAGCCCCGUGGCGUCGGGGUGGGUGACCGUGGGGGCCAAGGUUGCUGAAACCCCGUGAGCGGCUCAGGCACGGGUGCAGGUCCGCUGGCUGCGGUGACACACGGGCCCGCGCACCGCGGCUGGGCCGG